AGAUUGAACGCUGGCGGCAGGCCUAACACAUGCAAGUCGAGCGGUAGAGAGGUGCUUGCACCUCUUGAGAGCGGCGGACGGGUGAGUAAUGCCUAGGAAUCUGCCUAGUGGUGGGGGAUAACGUUCGGAAACGGACGCUAAUACCGCAUACGUCCUACGGGAGAAAGCGGGGGACCUUCGGGCCUCGCGCCAUUAGAUGAGCCUAGGUCGGAUUAGCUAGUUGGUGAGGUAAUGGCUCACCAAGGCGACGAUCCGUAACGUGGUCUGAGAGGAUGAUCAG
RNAcentral lists this ribosomal RNA (280 nucleotides) under uncultured soil bacterium. RNAcentral's name for it is "partial 16S ribosomal RNA". It matches the Rfam family "Bacterial small subunit ribosomal RNA", at positions 26 to 307 of the family's 1533-position model. The record is from RNAcentral.